This is a long non-coding RNA of Stomoxys calcitrans (stable fly), 1531 nucleotides long. RefSeq lists it as uncharacterized. The record is from RefSeq and is a predicted model, not a curated record. The transcript has 4 exons. NCBI's taxonomy places the organism in Eukaryota, Metazoa, Arthropoda, Insecta, Diptera, Muscidae.
GGGUUACUCCAGUUGCCGAAUGGACUGAUGUUCUAAGAGCGCACUCGAUCUCCGAUAAGUAGAGAUCCCAAUCUCGAUGGUCUUCAUUCAAAUAUGUCCUUAUGGCCGAUAUGACAGACUGAUUUACACGUUCGGAAGCAUUGGAUUGGGAUGAUGAUGCUAUUUCUCUCUGUUCUAUUUCUCUGAUCUGGGGGAAUUCAGGAUUGGACGUGGCCCCCCGGCAUAUUCCACGCCCUGAUUCAGGUUUCCCUGUUUACAGGACGGACAUUUGGGAGAAAUAGUCCCAGGUUUUCCACAACGAUAGCAAAAUAAAUUUCUUUCAGUGGAGUCGCAGUUUCUAAAGGUGUGGCCUUGCUUCUGGCAAUUCCAACACAAUAAUGUUGGCUUUGUUUUGCGAUUGAAUUGUAUGGCGGAUACUUCCUCACAUUCAGAGGAUUCGUGGUUGUAUUCGGACGAACCUUCGGCGUAUAUUUCGCUAACCUGUCGAAUUGGACGUGAUAGAGGUGCAUUUCUUAUAUCCCUUCUUGGGAAAUUCUUUUCCGCUUCAUUGCAUUCUAUCCUCAGCUGUUCAACGGACGAAACUUGAAUGGGGCUGGACUAAUUUAGCCCUCAUCUGGCCCAUAUUAUGGAAAAAUGUAUCUAUGGACUCAUUCGGUUGCUGUUUACGCUGAGCUAAUUCGGUUAUUAUCUCGAAAUUGGAUCUGGUGGAUUGAUAUUGGCUUAGCAAACUGUGCUUCAAACUGGGCCAAUCCGAAAACUGAUUUGUUUUCAGGGAUAGCCAAUACCAUGACUCGGCUGGACCGGAUACUAUUAAAGAAAAAUCCCUUAAUAUCUCUGCCCAUGGAAUAUGGUACUGUCCCUGAAAGUAUUCAAGACGAUACACGAACUCUUCAACGGAAAUACCACUUGAAAUGCCAUCAAACCUUAGUCCCAACUUGUCUAUUCGGACACGCAUAUUUUCCCUCAGUGUAUCAUUCGGAAAAUGACUACAUACUGAACCUGCCACAGAAUUGCCGUUGGUUGGGCGAUUGCCAUUAUUUCCUGUUUGUGGUGCAGACAAAUUGUCCAAGCCCUCUAAGUCAGAAUUAGACGCCGAUGAACUGGGUACAUUUCGAUUCAAGGUAAGUUCAGUUAACCUUUUUACAGCCUCUGAUAACCGUCCUAUCGUAUUCUUCAAACCACCUAAUUCAUUCUGGACCAUACAAACAUUGUUUUCGAGGACUCUUUGUUGCCUAAGGACCUCUACAUUACCAUUUCCUGGCGGUUCAGACCUGGCCCCUCCAAUCGGUGUCCCACCAGCUGAUGGACCCGAUGUAUUGUUGUUGCCUGUCCCCGAUCCUAUGGUCCCAGACAAAUCGGUGAUUUGGCUUGUACUAGCCUGGUUUCCAACAGACAUAUCGGAAUUUUUCUCUUUUUCGCCUGGGAUCGAGUCUGAAUGCUCAUAACCUUUCUCUAAUUGGACAAUAAUUUUAACGCCUAUAUUAAAUUGUAUUAGUUUAUUUAGAGUAUUUAUUUUUUUCUUAUCUAGAAC